Small nuclear RNA from Loxodonta africana (African savanna elephant), 62 nucleotides. Its record names the gene U7. It matches the Rfam family "U7 small nuclear RNA". Rfam says of the family: Animal histone pre-mRNAs are spliced by a different mechanism than nuclear pre-mRNAs and self-splicing introns. This processing involves the U7 snRNP, which contains only one RNA species: U7. The record is from Ensembl. Lineage: Eukaryota; Metazoa; Chordata; Mammalia; Proboscidea; Elephantidae.
GCGUGUUACAGCUCUUUUAGAAUUUGUCUAGUAGGUUUUCCAGUUCUUUCCAGAAGACCCUA